GCCUGGGUGGCUCAGCUGUUUCAGCAUCUGACUUCGGCUCAGGUCACGAUCUCACAGUUUGUGGGUUCAAGCCCCACAUCGGGCU
Molecule: transfer RNA, 85 nt
Filed under: Felis catus (domestic cat)
Lineage: Eukaryota; Metazoa; Chordata; Mammalia; Carnivora; Felidae
Rfam family: tRNA
About the family: Transfer RNA (tRNA) molecules are approximately 80 nucleotides in length.
Source: Rfam by way of RNAcentral